RNAcentral lists this ribosomal RNA (510 nucleotides) under Triticum aestivum (bread wheat). Its description in RNAcentral is "partial small subunit ribosomal RNA". The record is from RNAcentral. Lineage: Eukaryota; Viridiplantae; Streptophyta; Magnoliopsida; Poales; Poaceae.
AUGGUCCAGAUUGUGGGGGGUGGAUGUGAGCACACACUUGCUGGCUUCUUUGCACAAAACUCCCUCACUUCUACUUAUUUACCUCUCGUACCGAUAGCACCAGGCCAGCAGCUCACGCCCAAAUUCCCCAACCCUAGCUUGCGUACAAGCCGCCUCCUGGACCAAUCCUCUGGUCCAUCUUCCUCCGGCUUGCCGACGGUGGCGGCGAUCCAGAUCCGGUGCCUAGCUGGGCGAGUAUGCCUAGCGGAGGUCCCGUUCCAGCUUCUGUUCGUCUCAUCGCCGGCGGUCUGGCUGCCCCGGCGGACCUCGCUCUGUCCUAAGAGAACAAGAACUGGAUGGUACUCUUCUCUGGCGACCAGAGGUCGACCUCGCCCCAUUCUUUUUUCUACCUCAACCCGCCAUUCUCCACAUGUCGCCACCCACCCCGCCGACGUCGGAGAAGAAAACUCCAAUCUGAAGGACACAAUUUCUGUUCUAAGUAUGAUGGAUACAUCGGAGCUUGUCGACUAG